AACGAACGCUGGCGGCAUGCCUAACACAUGCAAGUCGAACGAGACCUUCGGGUCUAGUGGCGCACGGGUGCGUAACGCGUGGGAACCUGCCCUUAGGUUCGGAAUAACUCCCCGAAAGGGGUGCUAAUACCGGAUAAUGUCUUCGGACCAAGGAUUUAUCGCCUUUGGAUGGGCCCGCGUUGGAUUAGCUAGUUGGUAGGGUAAAAGCCUACCAAGGCGACGAUCCAUAGCUGGUCUGAGAGGAUGAUCAGCCACACUGGGACUGAGACACGGCCCAGACUCCUACGGGAGGCAGCAGUGGGGAAUAUUGGACAAUGGGCGAAAGCCUGAUCCAGCACUGCCGCGUGAGUGAUGAAGGCCUUAGGGUUGUAAAGCUCUUUUACCCGGGAUGAUAAUGACAGUACCGGGAGAAUAAGCUCCGGCUAACUCCGUG
Molecule: ribosomal RNA, 433 nt
Filed under: uncultured bacterium
Lineage: Bacteria
Description: partial 16S ribosomal RNA
Rfam family: Bacterial small subunit ribosomal RNA
Source: RNAcentral